This 993-nucleotide ribosomal RNA is filed under the name Candidatus Kaiserbacteria bacterium GW2011_GWA1_50_28. RNAcentral's name for it is "bacterial LSU rRNA". It matches the Rfam family "Bacterial large subunit ribosomal RNA", at positions 1652 to 2661 of the family's 2925-position model. Lineage: Bacteria; Candidatus Kaiseribacteriota. The record is from RNAcentral.
AACCGACACAGGUGUUCAGGGCGAGUAGCCCAAGGCGAACGAGUGAGAGAUCCUCAAGGAACUCGGCAAAAAAGCGACCGUACGUUAGCAAUAAGGUCUGCCGCCCGAAUAGGGUGGCCGCAGUUAAUAUUUCCCAAGCGACUGUUUACCAAAAACACAGCUCCCUGCAAACUCGUAAGAGGAAGUAUAGGGGGUGAUGCCUGACCAAUGCCGGUAGGUCAAAUGUGGUCGGUCUUAUGCAGCAAUGCAUAUUGCUGGCACUACAUAAGCCCCGGUCAAUGUCGGCGAUAACUAUAGUGUCUGGUAAGUUCAGACGCGCACGAAUGGUAUAACGACUUGGGAACUGUCUCGAGGAUUUGCUCGGUGAAAAUACAAGGGCGGUGAAGAUGCCGCCUUCCUGCAGCAAGACGAAAAGACCCCAGAAGCUUUACUGUAAUUUGGUAUUGGAUAUACGGGUGCGUUGCGUAGAAUAGAUGGGAGACUUUGAAGCGAGAAUCUCGGUUUUCGUGGAGUCGCCAGUGCAAUACCAUCCUACGUUUCUGUAUAUUCUAACCUCUUGGGAGAAACCCAAGAGAGACAGUACUUGAUGGACAGUUUCGGUGGGGCGCUGUCCUCUAAAAAGUAACGGAGGAGCCUAUUAUGGUCAGCUAGGCGCGAAUGGAAACCGUGCCGAUAGUGCAUUGGCAUAAGCUGGCUUGACUGCGAGUCGUACAUGACAAGCAGGCGCGAAAGCGGAGCAAAGUGAACCGACGGUCCGCAUUAGAUGCGGCCGAAGAUUAACGGAUAAAAGUUACUCUGGGGAUGACAGGCUGGUACCGCCUAAGAGUCCAAAUCGACGGCGGUGUUCGGCACCUUCAGCGAUGUCGGCUCAUCUCAUCCCGGGGCUGGAGAAGGUCCCAAGGGUUUGGCUGUUCGCCAAUUAAAGAGGUACGUGAGCUGGGUUCAAACCGUCGUGAGACAGGUUGGUCUUAAUCUGCUGUAGGCGUUGAUUCU